UACGUAGGGGGCUAGCGUUGUCCGGAUUUAUUGGGCGUAAAGAGCGUGUAGGCGGCCAUGUAGGUCCGGUGUGAAAACUCGAGGCUUAACCUCGAGUUGUCGGUGGAAACCGUAAGGCUAGAGUCCGGAAGAGGAGAGUGGAAUUCCUGGUGUAGCGGUGAAAUGCGCAGAUAUCAGGAAGAACACCCGUGGCGAAGGCGGCUCUCUGGGACGGUACUGACGCUGAGACGCGAAAGCGUGGGGAGCGAACAGG
This 253-nucleotide ribosomal RNA is filed under the name uncultured bacterium. RNAcentral describes it as "partial 16S ribosomal RNA". It matches the Rfam family "Bacterial small subunit ribosomal RNA", at positions 524 to 776 of the family's 1533-position model. The record is from RNAcentral.